GACGAACCGUGCGAACGUUGUUCGGAUUCACUGGGCUUAAAGGGCGCGUAGGCGGGUUACCAAGUCCGGGGUGAAAGCCCCCAGCUCAACUGGGGAAGUGCCUCGGAUACUGGUGACCUCGAGGGGGGUAGGGGCGGGCGGAACUUCCGGUGGAGCGGUGAAAUGCGUAGAUAUCGGAAGGAACGCCGGUGGCGAAAGCGGCCCGCUGGACCCUCUCUGACGCUGAGGCGCGAAAGCCAGGGGAGCAAACGGG
This 253-nucleotide ribosomal RNA is filed under the name uncultured bacterium. RNAcentral's name for it is "partial 16S ribosomal RNA". It matches the Rfam family "Bacterial small subunit ribosomal RNA", at positions 524 to 776 of the family's 1533-position model. The record is from RNAcentral.